GAUGAACGCUGGCAGUGUGCCUAAAAACAUGCAAGUCGGACGGUUCUGAGGUUAGAGGCUGGAGGCUAAGGGAUUAGCUUGCAGUCUCUAAUUUCAGGACAGUGGCGAACGGGUGAGUAACGCGUAAGUAACCUACCCCCAGGACGGGGAUAACAUUCCGAAAGGGAUGCUAAUACCCGAUGAGGUUAAGUGACUGAGAUGUCAGAUAACCAAAGGGAAGCGAAAGUGACCGCCUGGGGAUGGGCUUGCGUCCCAUCAGCUAGUUGGUAGGGUAAGAGCCUACCAAGGCAAAGACGGGUAGCUGGCUUGAGAGGGUGGUCAGCCACACUGGGACUGAGACACGGCCCAGACUCCUACGGGAGGCAGCAGUGGGGAAUAUUGCACAAUGGGCGAAAGCCUGAUGCAGCAACGCCGCGUGAGCGAAGAAGGCCUUUGGGUCGUAAAGCUCUGUCGGGUAGGAAGAUAAUGACGGUACUACCCGAGGAAGCCCCGGCUAACUACGUGCCAGCACG
Molecule: ribosomal RNA, 512 nt
Filed under: uncultured bacterium
Lineage: Bacteria
Description: bacterial SSU rRNA
Rfam family: Bacterial small subunit ribosomal RNA
Source: RNAcentral